RNAcentral lists this ribosomal RNA (1373 nucleotides) under uncultured prokaryote. Its description in RNAcentral is "partial 16S ribosomal RNA". It matches the Rfam family "Bacterial small subunit ribosomal RNA", at positions 146 to 1489 of the family's 1533-position model. The record is from RNAcentral.
CCUUUGCGAAAGUGUGGCUAAUACCGGAUGACACCAUCGGGUCGCAUGGCCCGGGGCUCAAGGGUGGGGACCUUCGGGCCUGUCGGUCUGGGAGCGGCCUAUGUCCUAUCAGCUUGUUGGUGAGGUAACGGCUCACCAAGGCAUCGACGGGUAGCGGGCGUGAGAGCGUGGCCCGCCUCAUCGGAACUGAGACACUGUCCGGACACCUACGGGUGGCUGCAGUAACGAAUAUUGGGCAAUGGGCGAAAGCCUGACCCAGCAAUGCCGCGUGCAGGAGGAAGCCUUUCGGGGUGUAAACUGCUGUUGGGGUUCAGCAAGCAAAGAGGGUUAAUAGCCCUCGGCGUUGAGCAGACCCUGAGGAAGUCUCGGCUAACUCUGUGCCAGCAGCCGCGGUAAGACAGAGGAGGCAAGCGUUGUUCGGAAUUAUUGGGCUUAAAGAGGGUGUAGGCGGCCCGGCAAGUGUCCCGUGAAAUCCCACGGCUCAACCGUGGAACUGCGGAGCAAACUGCCGGGCUUGAGGUCGGUAGAGGUGCCUGGAAUUUCCGGCGUAGCGGUGAAAUGCGUAGAUAUCGGAAGGAACACUUGUGGCGAAGGCGGCCAGCUGGACCAGUUCUGACGCUGAGACGCGAAAGCGUGGGGAGCAAACAGGAUUAGAUACCCUGGUAGUCCACGCUGUAAACGAUGGGCACUAGGUGUCGGCGGUCUAUAAUCCGUCGGUCCGGCGCUAACGCAGUAAGUGCCCCGCCUGGGGAGUACGGUCGCAAGGCUGAAACUCAAACGAAUUGACGGGGGCCCGCACAAGCGGUGGAGCAUGUGGUUUAAUUCGACGCAACGCGAAGAACCUUACCUAGGUUUGACAUGGACGUGAUCGCCGGUGAAAGCCGGUUUCCCUCUGCCCUUCGGGGUGAAACUUGCACAGGGGUUGCAUGGCUGUCGUCAGCUCGUGCUGUGAAGUGUCGGGUUAAGUCCCUUAACGAGCGAAACCCCUGUCGUUAGUUGCCAGCGCGUUAUGGCGGGGACUCUAACGAGACUGCCGGCGUUAAGCCGGAGGAAGGUGGGGACGACGUCAAGUCAUCGUGGCCCUUAAGCCCGGGGAUGCACACGUGCUACAAUGGCGAGUACAGAGGGAAGCAAGACCGCGAGGUGGAGCAAACGCAAAAAAACGUCCCUCAGUUCGGAUUGCAGUCUGAAACUCGACUGCAUGAAGUUGGAAUCGCUAGUAAUCGCGUAUCAGCUACGACGCGGUGAAUAUGUUCCUGAGCCUUGUACACACCGCCCGUCAAGUCAUGGAAGUUGGUAGCGCCCGAAGUCCGCUUAGCUAACCCUCGGGAGGCGGCGGCCGACGGUGAGACUGGUAACUGGGACUAAGUCGU